GCUUGGGCCCCACAGCACAGAAGCGACCACCAUGAAAGACGGAAGUCGGGGGUCGCCGAGAUCGGGGCCGAGCGGAGAGGCGGUGAAAGGAACGCCCCGAGGCGCCGGAGCGGUUGCAAUGGAAGGAGCCGGAACGUCACGUGAUCCGGUUUGGCAGGUCACAUGACGAGGAGCCCCCAGCGGCUGGUUUUUGGGGAAGGCGUCUAGGUCGCGGAGGUCCUGGUCACCUUGGAGGUGGGCUCCCAGUAGCAGGGGAUUGGAACCGACUUUCCCCCUCAGAUGCUGUACUUUCGGGUGGUAUCUAUCCUGUGGGGGACAUAGAAAUUCACGCCGAGAGAGGACGCCCGUUUCCCCGCGCAUCCCGACCCUUAAACAGAGAUUCCGGCGCAGUACAAGGACAUGAGACCCUUCCUGAGGUCGAGCGGACGGUUGCGGCCAGAACGCUUUCAAAUUGCGGAGCGUUCUGGGCAUUGGGAAUACUUGAGUGACGUUUGCUACCAAACAUGGAAUACUAAGAGGGUUUGGAUGCCAAAUCCAGGAAAAAUAUGGGCGUCAGGAAAAGCCGAGGGAAAGUAGACUGUGGGUAGGUUGUGAAGGUGCGUGGUCCUGCUAAAUGUACUGGAGAAAGACAUAAUACACAAAACAUCCCUUUGCUUCCCUACUGCAAACUAAGGAAACGGAUGAUAGGCCCUUUGAAUAAGGUAGGGGACACGACUUUAAAAAUAUGAGGAAGUCAUUCACUCCAAAGAAAAAGCUUGUAUACUUCACUGGUAAGAGGCAGGUUUGUAAUAAUCACUCAGGGAAAUGCAUGUUUGAAGAACACAGUUCUGUUCUGAGCUUGUACCCAGCCUAGUGAAGACAGUGAUCAAAGCAUGAUUGAGAGGGGCCAUUCUGAACCCACGACAAACAAACCGUGGUCAGUAUAAUUUUGUGGUACUUUGUCACUUAUUUUGUGCAUAUUGUUCUGAAAAGGGUAAUGAGAGAGGACAUAGAACCUGGAUCACAGGUAGUGACUGCAGUGUACUAAAGGGACUGGGAAAAUGGCCUUGAGACAUGAAUUUCAUGUCUCUCUUGUUUGAGACUAUUUGGGGAAGGAAACCAAAAGAUUUUAGUCUGCUCUAGGAGCACCUUUUGUAUUCCAGGACUUUUGGGGGUAGGUGUGUGAAUAGCGGUGGAGGGAAAGUUGCAAAAGAACAGAAUCAGGAAUUUUUAAGUUGCCCACCAAGCAUGAAGUCUAGCUCCUGGGAAAGGAGAAUUAGUUGAGGUAGUUCACUUCUCCAAGAAAUCCCCCCACCCACCCCUGAGAGCAUUCUCUGGAUGUUUGCAAGUAGAGUCAGUGCUUCAGGCCAGAUCAGGCAGCCUUGUCCAGGUACUGCCCCUGAGGGCCACAUUCAGCCUGCAGCCUGUGCACGUCUCUAGCAAAGCACAGGGGUAUUAGUUUUGUUUUGUUUUUGUAUUUUUAAAUGUAAAACAAAAGAAGAAUAUUUUGUGACACGUGAAGUUCACAUUUCACUGAGCAUGAAUAAAGUUUUAUUGGAACACA
Long non-coding RNA from Myotis lucifugus (little brown bat), 1543 nucleotides. RefSeq lists it as uncharacterized. NCBI's taxonomy places the organism in Eukaryota, Metazoa, Chordata, Mammalia, Chiroptera, Vespertilionidae. The record is from RefSeq and is a predicted model, not a curated record. The transcript has 2 exons.